Molecule: ribosomal RNA, 457 nt
Filed under: uncultured bacterium
Lineage: Bacteria
Description: bacterial SSU rRNA
Rfam family: Bacterial small subunit ribosomal RNA
Source: RNAcentral
AUUGAACGCUGGCGGCAGGCCUAAUACAUGCAAGUCGAACGGUAACAUAAAAGAAGCUUGCUUCUUUGAUGACGAGUGGCGGACGGGUGAGUAAUAUUUGGGAAACUACCUGAUAGAGGGGGACAACAGUUGGAAACGACUGCUAAUACCGCAUAUAGCCUAAGGGUGAAAGCAGCAAUGCGCUAUCAGAUGUGCCCAAACGGGAUUAGCUAGUAGGUGAGGUAAAGGCUCACCUAGGCGACGAUCUCUAGCUGGUCUGAGAGGAUGAUCAGCCACAUUGGGACUGAGAUACGGCCCAGACUCCUACGGGAGGCAGCAGUGGGGAAUAUUGGGCAAUGGGGGAAACCCUGACCCAGCAACGCCGCGUGAAGGAAGAAGGCUUUCGGGUUGUAAACUUCUUUUACCAGGGACGAAGGACGUGACGGUACCUGGAGAAAAAGCCACGGCUAACUACGUG